UUAAUUCCGGAUAAUUAAUUGCAAUCAACUGAUUGGAACAAAUUUACUUUAAUUUACUAAUGGACUUUCCAUGAAAUUUCCGAUUUAUUAAUAGAAAUAAGUCCGAUUUAAUAAUAUUUAACCGAGGAACUGUUCGUGUAGUAGUGGCUGUUGGCGCCGUUAUUCAAAUGCCCAUCAAACAUGAGUCACUUGUCUUUAUCUAUGAGUUAGUUUUAAGCAUAGAGUAAGUAAAAUAAUUUUACUUUCUCUAGAGAGCAUAGAGACAAGCAGACAAGCAAGACAAAGGUAUUAAGACAGAAACUAUACUAACCCCAGAUUUAUUUUUGAUAAUAUUAUGUAACAACUUACGUGCGUGUUGGAUUUAUUUAAGGAAAAUCAGCCACCAAGGUGAGACUUGGAUUGGAGGAAAAGCUGUAACGUUGCUGGCGCUUUGAAGAUAUAUUCUCUAUAAGUAAUUGUAAUGUACAAUAUAUACGUAUUGAUAAU
Long non-coding RNA from Dendroctonus ponderosae (mountain pine beetle), 486 nucleotides. RefSeq lists it as uncharacterized. The transcript has 2 exons. Lineage: Eukaryota; Metazoa; Arthropoda; Insecta; Coleoptera; Curculionidae. The record is from RefSeq and is a predicted model, not a curated record.